RNAcentral lists this ribosomal RNA (253 nucleotides) under uncultured bacterium. RNAcentral's name for it is "partial 16S ribosomal RNA". It matches the Rfam family "Bacterial small subunit ribosomal RNA", at positions 524 to 776 of the family's 1533-position model. The record is from RNAcentral.
UACGUAGGGGGCAAGCGUUGUCCGGAUUUAUUGGGCGUAAAGCGCGUGUAGGCGGCUAGGUAGGUCCGCUGUGAAAACUUGAGGCUCAACCUCAAGAGGUCGGUGGAAACCAUCUGGCUAGAGUCCGGAAGAGGAGAAUGGAAUUCCUGGUGUAGCGGUGAAAUGCGUAGAUAUCUGGAAGAACACCGGUGGCGAAGGCGGUCAACUGGCCCUGAACUGACGCUCAGGCACGAAAGCGUGGGGAUCAAACAGG